This 518-nucleotide ribosomal RNA is filed under the name uncultured eukaryote. RNAcentral describes it as "bacterial SSU rRNA". It matches the Rfam family "Eukaryotic small subunit ribosomal RNA", at positions 9 to 561 of the family's 1831-position model. The record is from RNAcentral.
UGAUCCUGCCAGUAGUCAUAUGCUUGUCUCAAAGAUUAAGCCAUGCAUGUCUAAGUAUAAGUACUUGAUUGACGAAACUGCGAACGGCUCAUUAAAACAGUUAUAAUUGCUAUGAAGGACAAACGUUACACGGAUAACCGUGGGGAAACCAAGGCUAAUACGUGCGUACGGUCUUUGACCAGCGUUUAUUAGAUUAAGAACCAACAUUCUGGUGCUUCAUGGUAACCAUUCGGAUCGCAUUUAUAUGCGAUGGUUCAUUCAAGUUUCUGACCUAUCAGCUUUCGACGGUCGGGUAGUGGCCCUCCGUGGCAUUAACGGGUGACGGGGAAUUGGGGUUCGAUUCCGGAGAGGGAGCCUGAGAAACGGCUACCACGUCUAAGGAUGGCAGCAGGCGCGUAAAUUACCCAAUCCUGACAUGGGGAGGUAGUGACAAGAAAUAGCAACGCGAGGCAUAUUGUCUUGUGAUUGCAAUGAGUAGAAUCUAAACAUUUCUACGAGAACCAAUUGGAGGGCAAGUC